Molecule: transfer RNA, 73 nt
Filed under: Orthetrum melania
Lineage: Eukaryota; Metazoa; Arthropoda; Insecta; Odonata; Libellulidae
Description: tRNA-Lys
Source: RNAcentral
CAUUGGAUGGCUGAAAUGUAAGCAUUGGUCUCUUAAACCAAAUUAUAGUAAAAUAACGAAAUACUUCCAAUGA